RNAcentral lists this transfer RNA (72 nucleotides) under Camelus bactrianus (Bactrian camel). It matches the Rfam family "tRNA". From Rfam's summary of the family: Transfer RNA (tRNA) molecules are approximately 80 nucleotides in length. Their secondary structure includes four short double-helical elements and three loops (D, anti-codon, and T loops). Lineage: Eukaryota; Metazoa; Chordata; Mammalia; Artiodactyla; Camelidae. RNAcentral also lists the same sequence under 3 other names. The record is from Rfam by way of RNAcentral.
GAGGGUAGAGCUCAGUGGUAGAGUGCAUGCCUAGUAUACAUGAGGUCUGGAGUUCAAUCCCCAGUACCUCCA